UUGUAGGUUCGAGCCCUACUA
This 21-nucleotide non-coding RNA is filed under the name Arabidopsis thaliana (thale cress). The record is from RNAcentral. Lineage: Eukaryota; Viridiplantae; Streptophyta; Magnoliopsida; Brassicales; Brassicaceae.